RNAcentral lists this small nuclear RNA (24 nucleotides) under Arabidopsis thaliana (thale cress). Its description in RNAcentral is "snRNA_08661". Lineage: Eukaryota; Viridiplantae; Streptophyta; Magnoliopsida; Brassicales; Brassicaceae. The record is from RNAcentral.
GUCCUACCACUAACUCCGUUCAGU